This 253-nucleotide ribosomal RNA is filed under the name uncultured bacterium. RNAcentral's name for it is "partial 16S ribosomal RNA". It matches the Rfam family "Bacterial small subunit ribosomal RNA", at positions 524 to 776 of the family's 1533-position model. The record is from RNAcentral.
UACGUAGGGGGCGAGCGUUGUCCGGAAUUAUUGGGCGUAAAGCGCGCGUAGGCGGUUUUUUAAGUCUGAUGUGAAAGCCCACGGCUCAACCGUGGAGGGUCAUUGGAAACUGGAAAACUUGAGUGCAGAAGAGGAAAGCGGAAUUCCAUGUGUAGUGGUGAAAUACGUAGAGAUAUGGAAGAACACCAGUGGCGAAGGCGGCUUUCUGGUCUGAAAUUGACGCUGAGGCUCGAAAGCGUGGGGAGCAAACAGG